RNAcentral lists this ribosomal RNA (465 nucleotides) under uncultured bacterium. RNAcentral describes it as "partial 16S ribosomal RNA". It matches the Rfam family "Bacterial small subunit ribosomal RNA", at positions 28 to 507 of the family's 1533-position model. The record is from RNAcentral.
GACGAACGCUGGCGGCGUGCUUAACACAUGCAAGUCGAACGGAAAGGCCCCUUUGGGGGUACUCGAGUGGCGAACGGGUGAGUAACACGUGAGUAACCUGCCCUUGUCUUCGGGAUAACUUCAGGAAACUGGGGCUAAUACCGGAUAGGAAUCCUUGCUGCAUGGUGGGGGUUGGAAAGCUUCGGCGGUCUUGGAUGGACUCGCGGCUUAUCAGCUUGUUGGUGGGGUAGUGGCUUACCAAGGCUUUGACGGGUAGCCGGCCUGAGAGGGCGACCGGCCACAUUGGGACUGAGGUAAGGCACAGACUGCUACGGGAGGCAGCUGUGGGGAAUAUUGCACAAUGGGCGGAAGCCUGAUGCAGCAACGCCGCGUGCGGGAUGACGGCCUUCGGGGUGAAAACCGCUUUCAGCAGGAGCAAAGCAUGUGGUGACGGUACCUGCAGAAGAAGCACCGGCUAACUACGUG